This is a non-coding RNA of Chaetura pelagica (chimney swift), 1161 nucleotides long. The record is from the annotation of a RefSeq genome assembly. Lineage: Eukaryota; Metazoa; Chordata; Aves; Apodiformes; Apodidae.
AUGACGGGUUUGGGUCCAAAAAUCAUUGGUUUGGGCCCCAAAAUGGUUGGAUUAGGCUCCAAAAUUGGGGGAUUUGGGCCCAAAAUGGAGGAGCCAAAAACCCUCCAAAAAUCACCAAUUUCCCCCCCAAAAAAACCUCUGGUCUCCAUCCACCCACCUUCCGGCGAGGACUUCCUAGGCCCCUACCUCAACUCCAGCAUCCUCUGCCACAUCCGGGUGCCCAAGGCCACGCCCAACACCGUCGUCCAAUGGCUGAAGAACGGGAAGGUCCUCCAGGAGGGCGUGACCAACGAGGUCCUGGUGACCCCUCAAGGCCAAGGCCCCAAAGUCAUUGACAGUCGCCUCAGUGUCACCAAGGACGAGUGGGACGCUGGGAACGUCUACACGUGUCGGGUGGAGGAGGAGAUGAGGAACACCAGCAAGGCCCUGGAGUGCGGGUUCGUCCCCGGCAGCGGAGAGGACAUCAAGGUGCAAGUCAUCCCUCCGGCCUUCAUCGACAUCUUCCAAGACAAGGUGGCCAAGUUGACCUGCCUGGUGUCCAACCUGCCCAGCUCGGAAGGCUUGGAGAUCUCCUGGUGGACGGAAGGUGGGGAGAAACUGCCCACCAAGACCUCCUCCCAAACCCUCCAACCCAACGGGCUCUACAGGGUGGAGGGCGUGGCCAGCGUCUGCGCCGACCAAUGGGACAAGGGGGAGGUCUUCACUUGCAAGGUGACCCACCCUGAGCUGCUCUUCCCCACCGAGGCCACGUUGCAGAAGACCAAGGGUCGUGACGUCAAAGCCCCUUCCAUCUACGUCUUCCCCCCUCCCGCCGAGCAAUUGGCCGCGCACGAAACCGCCACCGUCACCUGCUUGGCCAAAGGCUUCAACCCCCCCGACAUCUUCUUCCGGUGGCUCCGCAACGGCGCCGUCAUCCCGGAAGCCGAUUACGUCACCACGCCGGCCAUGUUGGAAGCUCAACGCGCCACUUCCUACGUCGCUUACAGCUCCUUGAGCAUCGGGGGCGACGAUUGGGCGGCCGGGAACGUUUACACUUGUUUGGUGGGGCACGAGGAGCUUCCCAUGCAGGUGACGCAGAAAUCGGUCGACAAAGCUUCCGGUAAACCCGCCAACGUCAACGUCUCCCUCGUCCUCUCCGACUUGGCCAACACUUGUUAUUAA